GUUACUUUAAAAUGCAACCAUGAUGAUGGCAGCUAUUAUUAUAUGUACUGGUACAGACAGAGAAGUACUGAAUCUUCGCUGGAGAUCAAGAAUCUAGUAGAGGAAGACUCAGGAAUUUAUUUCUGCGCCACAAGCUCUGGUGGUAGUUCUCCAGCUUAUUUCGGCAAUGGAACAAAGCUCACUGUCCUGGAGCGUGAUAUAAGCAAACCAGAAGUAGAAAUUCUAAAACCCUCUGGAACUGAGACGAGCUGUAAGCAAAAAGUCACUCUUGUGUGUGUGGCCAAAAACUUCUACCCAGACCAUGUGAGCAUAACAUGGACCAUUGGAAGCAAAGAAAUAAAAGAUGAUGUAGCGACAGACCCUUAUGCCACUCAAGACGAAAAAACAAAAUUGUUCAGCAUAACCAGCAGACUUAAAGUCUCUAAAAAAGAAUUCAAACCACAAAACACAUUCAGAUGUACUGUGAGAUUCUACAAUGAAACAGAUGUUUCCAUAAACAGACAUGGUGAAAUCAAUGGAAUUGCAGGGGGUGGAUAUGAGCCAGAAGACUAUGUAAAAUCAUCACGGAGGAUGAAGCUGGCAUACAGUGUGUUCAUCGCUAAGAGUGGACUGUAUGGUCUUGUCAUCUUAGUGUAUGUAUGGAGAAAGGGUUCAUCUGGAAAGUGAAUGAACGGAACAUUCCUGGAUUGACGGAGUUACCAAGAAAACUCAAUCCAUUUACUCCAUCCAGAAGAGAUGCUGAUUAUAUAACUGAAGAUUCUUUCUAUAUUGUUUCGUUUUAUUUCUCUCAUUCUGUUCUAUUCUGAGUGUGUAUCCUAGUGAAAAUCUGCAGGUACUUCAGAUCAGAUUAAUCAUAAAAUCUUUUUUAAUAAUAUAUAUUUUUUCUUUUGCUUAUUUUCUUGCUACUGUACAUAGUUACAAUUCGAUAACAAACUACUAUACUAGUAAAACAGACUUAACAGAGCUAAAUAUAAUUCAUUGUUUUUCAUAUUAAGAUUUACUGUAUUUUUUUUAUUUGUUUUAUACAUAAAUAAAAUCUAUAACACAUGCUUAUUACCCACAAAGAAAAUUCUCCCUUCUUUUAUAGGCAUGUUGUUCACCAAUUCAAGACUAAUAGCUAUUUUGAUAGCUUUUUUUUGCUGUAGACAAUUUGGUAGCGUACAUGGCACUUGCUGUUAAAGAUUUCAUUCUCAGGGAGCAUAAAUAAAUUGUAUACCUUGAAUUGCUUUGAAUAAAAGCAUCUGCAAAAUUCAAAAAGUAAAAGACAAUUUGUAGCCAAUAACGUUCAUGAAAAUGAUCUCCCAACUGCUUUCAAUCAAGUAACAACAUGGUAACAAUGAUUUAACUGGUUGAUUAUAUUCUGUUGCCUAUGUGGUCUUUAUAUAGGCCCCCUAAUGAAUACACUGUUACUGGUCGCUAAAACAUUGUAAUUAGGAAUAAAUAACUGUUUACUUCUUUAGGUGAACUGUUCAUCUGAAUAAACAUGAAAGCAAUAGAAAUCUCAUCAUAUAUCUGGAUUAUUAUUUAUCGGCAUUUUAGGGCUCCCACCACUUUAAAAAAAUUUGAUAAAACAAUCUACAUUUUUUCUUUUGAGUUACUGAAUGCUGCAGACCUGUACCUGAACAUUUCUUUCUCCCAUAAAGUACCUCCU
Non-coding RNA from Sinocyclocheilus rhinocerous, 1651 nucleotides. Lineage: Eukaryota; Metazoa; Chordata; Actinopteri; Cypriniformes; Cyprinidae. The record is from the annotation of a RefSeq genome assembly.